CCUGCGGCUCCCCCCUCUCCCAGCCCCGCCCCUGGGUAAGAGCCCUGCCUGGGUCAGGUGAAUCUCACCUGGCUCAGGGCCUGUCUUGGGGCGCACAGGCCUGAGGGGCCGGGAUGAUUCUCGGCUGUGCAGGGGAGUGAAAUGUGCCUUCAGAUGGGAGGAAGUUUACGCCCUUUUCAAUUUUCAACUCUGGAUUCACUCAAGCGGGAGAGCCUGCUCAACCCCUGCUGAAAUCUUAAAAAUCGAAGAAAAAUCAGGCCUGGGCUCAGAGCUCCCGGCAGACAAAGGUAUCCAGAGAGAACAUCGUCGUUUAAUUUGUUUUCACAGGGUGUGUUUCUGCAGUUUCCUUCUAUUUGUGCCUUUGCAAAGUGAAUUUCUGGGCAGAAGUGCAGGCCUCUCGCCAGGCCUCUGCCCCGCCUGGUGCCAGCUGCCUCGGAGCUGCUCAGAGCUGCGUGGUGGUCUGCUGCAGAGAAGCAGGAGGAAGUCAGGACAUGGAACCCUUCGAGAGAAGAGAAAUCAUCAUGCGAACCUGUUUUUGUCCUCCUCCUGGGGGCCUCAUGAUACCGGCAUUCAAACCGCCCCACUUCCAGGACCCCCACCCAGAGGUGGCUCUUCUGCCCCCUCCUGCCCAGUGUCCCUGUGGACAGCCCUGAGGACGAAGCAUGGCUUGAGUCCUCUUGUCCUAGCCUGUGCCACGACCACCUCCCCUGCUGCCCUUCCGGAGGGACACGACAGCCUCCCACACCCAUGCCUUUGGUCUGCCAGGGCCCUCCCUGCCCACAAAUCGGCCCUGGCCCGCAGCCGUGGGGGCUGAGGACGUGCGAUGUGCUGAAAAGAAAUCAGGUUGUGGAUGAGCAGAAACAUCUAAUACAACGUGAAAUAUCUAGUGUGCCAGGGCAGCUUCCUUUAGGCCCUGGCAACACUGCUGUCCUUGUCAGCAUCACCCAGACAGGGGGUGACAGGCCGAGGGCCCUGGGCGGCAGCCUGAUGAGCCUCACACGAGCCGAGUGGACAGCGGAGCCCUGGUCCCGGGGAGGCGGUGUUGGCGCUGGCCCACAUGAGCCCGGGUCUGACAGCUUCUUACAGCAAGCUCAGCCCUGGGGCUGGCUGGCAGCUCCCCCUCAUUUUCAGGUCCCCAGACCCCGCAGGGGGGGCACGGCACCUCUUUUAUACCCUCAUAUCCCUGAUCUUUACCAUUUAUCACUGUCUUUCUGUAUUUAUCAAAUACUUAUAUAGUGAUAAUAUAAUAUUAUAUCAUGCUUCUAUAAUAGGAACUACUGCGAUACAUUUUACAUUGAAGAAAACUGAGGUACAGAGAGGUGAA
Long non-coding RNA from Galeopterus variegatus (Sunda flying lemur), 1324 nucleotides. RefSeq lists it as uncharacterized. The record is from RefSeq and is a predicted model, not a curated record. Lineage: Eukaryota; Metazoa; Chordata; Mammalia; Dermoptera; Cynocephalidae. The transcript is spliced from 3 exons.